GCCCGGAUGGCGGAAUUGGUAGACGCACUAGGUUCAGGUCCUAGCGCCGGCAACGGUGUGGAGGUUCGAGUCCUCUUUCGGGCACCA
This 87-nucleotide transfer RNA is filed under the name Burkholderiales bacterium. RNAcentral describes it as "tRNA-Leu". It matches the Rfam family "tRNA". From Rfam's summary of the family: Transfer RNA (tRNA) molecules are approximately 80 nucleotides in length. Their secondary structure includes four short double-helical elements and three loops (D, anti-codon, and T loops). Further hydrogen bonds mediate the characteristic L-shaped molecular structure. tRNAs have two regions of fundamental functional importance: the anti-codon, which is responsible for specific mRNA codon recognition, and the 3' end, to which the tRNAs corresponding amino acid is attached (by aminoacyl-tRNA synthetases). tRNAs cope with the degeneracy of the genetic code in two manners: having more than one tRNA (with a specific anti-codon) for a particular amino acid; and 'wobble' base-pairing, i.e. permitting non-standard base-pairing at the 3rd anti-codon position. The record is from RNAcentral. Lineage: Bacteria; Pseudomonadati; Pseudomonadota; Betaproteobacteria; Burkholderiales. RNAcentral also lists the same sequence under 1 other name.